Molecule: ribosomal RNA, 495 nt
Filed under: uncultured Bacteroides sp.
Lineage: Bacteria; Pseudomonadati; Bacteroidota; Bacteroidia; Bacteroidales; Bacteroidaceae
Description: partial 16S ribosomal RNA
Source: RNAcentral
CACGGAGUUAGCCGAUCCUUAUUCAUAAGGUACAUGCAAAGCAGUAUACAUACUGCACUUUAUUCCCAUAUAAAAGAAGUUUACAACCCAUAGGGCAGUCAUCCUUCACGCUACUUGGCUGGUUCAGGCUAGCGCCCAUUGACCAAUAUUCCUCACUGCUGCCUCCCGUAGGAGUUUGGACCGUGUCUCAGUUCCAAUGUGGGGGACCUUCCUCUCAGAACCCCUAUCCAUCGAUGCCUUGGUGGGCCGUUACCCCGCCAACAAGCUAAUGGAACGCAUCCCCAUCGAUGACCGAAAUUCUUUAAUAGUCCUACCAUGCGGAAGAACUAUGCCAUCGGGUAUUAAUCUUUCUUUCGAAAGGCUAUCCCCGAGUCAUCGGCAGGUUGGAUACGUGUUACUCACCCGUGCGCGGUCGCCAUCAAACUUAGCAAGCUAAGUUCAUGCUGCCCCUCGACUUGCAUGUGUUAAGCCUGUAGCUAGCGUUCAUCCUGAGCC